Cryptomeria japonica (Japanese cedar) is the source of this 1444-nucleotide long non-coding RNA. RefSeq lists it as uncharacterized. The record is from RefSeq and is a predicted model, not a curated record. Lineage: Eukaryota; Viridiplantae; Streptophyta; Pinopsida; Cupressales; Cupressaceae. The transcript has 2 exons.
UAUGUUAAACUGGGAAAUUGAAUAUUAAACUGGAAUUUGAACAUAUAAAGUAAACCAUACUCCAGCGAGAGAAAUAAAUACAUAGUAUAACCGACAAAAUUCACAGCGCAUGUGAGAUAAUUUGAAAUGUCGUGAAUUCUCGUUUAAACCAAGCAACAAGAGCAUCAGAAGCAGAAGAAGAAGAAGAAGAAGCAGAACCUUCUGUACUUGCUUCAUACAAAAGUCUUCCAGAGCAGCCUCUUUAACAUCAUAGCUACAACACCCACUUCAAAUCUUCAAUACCCAAAUCAUUUCCUCAAUACCCACUUUCAUAACUCCAAUACCCACUUGUUCUUCUUGACCUUCUUUCUUCUCUAAUGGUGUCUUGAGCUUGUGGGAUGUGAUAUACACACACAUAUAUAUAUACACAAUCAUAUAUAUAUAUACACACAAUCCAUUCUUUGCAAUUCAGCUCUGUGGAUGGUAUUGUGUAUCCUGUCGGAAUGAAAAUAAAAGUGGGUUUCUUGUCUGUUUUCAUUUUCAUCCUGCUGGUUUUGUCAAAUAUAGGUAUGGUGGAGUCAGGGAGACUUCCCAGAAGCCACAGAGUUUCAGUAAAUUAUUUUACCAAGUAUAGCAGCCAUGAAUUCUAUGCUCAUAGAAGCCCCCCUCCUGUGGCUGGUGAUGAUGAUGAUGGAGAUGAGAUAGAUCCAAGGUAUGGUGUGGAGAAAAGAAUGGUUCCCACAGGCCCAAAUCCUCUGCACCAUUGAAAGGAUUGGUUGGUGAAAAAAUGUUCCCCAAUAUGAGGCUGCACAGAAUUGGGAUCACAUGUACAUUAUGAAUUCUUCUCACAAGAUCUGGCUGUUCAAGAGCCCAAUACAGAAGGAUUGACUUAAUUAUAAUAGUACAGGGAAUUAAUCAAUAUACUGCCCUUGUUUAUUGCAGGAAGAAUUAUUCAUAAGGCCUGAUUAGUGCUAAGUUUCAAUAUCAUCAGAAUGGCUGAUAGCAGUUAGGUUAGGCCCUUUGCUUGGCCUAACUUGUCUUCUGCUUCUUAAGUGUUUUUUGGCCUGAGUCCUGAUGAUGGUUCUAUGAGGUAUCAGGCCUGGUAGUCUUGAUUUGCAUUGCUUCAGAGGAAGGGAACAAAAACAGCAAAGGAUUAGAUUAGCCUGUAGUCAGAGAAAAAUGGGCUUUUAGAUUUUUAUUAUACAAGUAUGCCAAUAUAUUGGAUCAUAAGUUAAGUUUCAGGUUUUAUUUAUUCUUUGUAACCAAGGAGAGUGUCCCAUAUUUCAGUCUGAGGCAAGAAAAAGACCAUGUUCUUGUAGUAUUUUAGCUUUGUCAAUUAAUUGUAUUCUUUCUGCAUAGACAGGAUCAUAGUAAUAAGCUUUGUGUAACCAUGUAAAUAAUCUCUUAAGAGGGUUAUCUUAUAUGAAAGAAUAUUAUAGGAUUCAGACUCGAAUGCUUGAUUUUA